RNAcentral lists this ribosomal RNA (515 nucleotides) under uncultured bacterium. RNAcentral describes it as "partial 16S ribosomal RNA". It matches the Rfam family "Bacterial small subunit ribosomal RNA", at positions 28 to 523 of the family's 1533-position model. The record is from RNAcentral.
GAUGAACGCUGGCGGCGUGCCUAAUACAUGCAAGUCGAGCGAAUGGAUUAAGAGCUUGCUCUUAUGAAGUUAGCGGCGGACGGGUGAGUAACACGUGGGUAACCUGCCCAUAAGACUGGGAUAACUCCGGGAAACCGGGGCUAAUACCGGAUAACAUUUUGAACCGCAUGGUUCGGAAUUGAAAGGCGGCUUCGGCUGUCACUUAUGGAUGGACCCGCGUCGCAUUAGUUAGUUGGUGAGGUAACGGCUCACCAAGGCAACGAUGCGUAGCCGACCUGAGAGGGGGAUCGGCCACACUGGGACUGAGACACGGCCCAGACUCCUACGGGAGGCAGCAGUAGGGAAUCUUCCGCAAUGGACGAAAGUCUGACGGAGCAACGCCGCGUGAGUGAUGAAGGCUUUCGGGUCGUAAAACUCUGUUGUUAGGGAAGAACAAGUGCUAGUUGAAUAAGCUGGCACCUUGACGGUACCUAACCAGAAAGCCACGGCUAACUACGUGCCAGCCGCCGCGGUAA